AUACGGAGGAUCCGAGCGUUAUCCGGAUUUAUUGGGUUUAAAGGGAGCGUAGGCGGAUUAUUAAGUCAGUUGUGAAAGUUUGCGGCUCAACCGUAAAAUUGCAGUUGAUACUGGUAGUCUUGAGUGCAGCAGAGGUAGGCGGAAUUCGUGUUGUAGCGGUGGAAUGCUUAGAUAUCACGAAGAACUCCGAUUGCGAAGGCAGCUUACUGGACUGUAACUGACGCUGAUGCUCGAAAGUGUGGGUAUCAAACAGGAUUAGAUACCCUGGUAGUCCACACAGUAAACGAUGAAUACUCGCUGUUUGCGAUAUACAGCAAGCGGCCAAGCGAAAGCAUUAAGUAUUCCACCUGGGGAGUACGCCGGCAACGGUGAAACUUAAAGGAAUUGACGGGG
RNAcentral lists this ribosomal RNA (393 nucleotides) under uncultured bacterium. RNAcentral's name for it is "partial 16S ribosomal RNA". It matches the Rfam family "Bacterial small subunit ribosomal RNA", at positions 523 to 918 of the family's 1533-position model. The record is from RNAcentral.